AUGGUCUCUGCAGCUUCACGCAGAUCCUCUCCACGGAGGAAAGCGGCGGCCUUUCCUACCACUACCUGUACGUGGAGUCUACAGUGGACAAACCAGAAAUCAGGCUGCACGUAUAUGCAGCUUCUCAUCUGGCUCCACAAGGGGGGCAGCUGGUCGCUGGUGGACACCAUUUGUUUGCGUGAGAUGUGUCCUGAUUUGAGGGUGCUGGGCUGCACGGCUGAGGAUGAGGACAGUGGUCUUGUCAUAAGACGGGUGGGGAACGAUGCUGAGUUUGUGCUCUUGCAGAUGGGCCGGUGCGCGCUCCACCUGGAUACCAGGCGCAGGACACUGCGUAAGGUGUAUGAGCAGACGGAAGAGGAUCAGUGUUUUGGUGACAUCCAUCCGUUUAUGAUGAUCUGGCAUCCCACAUUCCCUGCGCUCCGGGGUGAUCAUGCAAGAGAUGCAAUGUGA
RNAcentral lists this ribosomal RNA (450 nucleotides) under Triticum aestivum (bread wheat). RNAcentral's name for it is "partial small subunit ribosomal RNA". Lineage: Eukaryota; Viridiplantae; Streptophyta; Magnoliopsida; Poales; Poaceae. The record is from RNAcentral.